CGGCCUAUCAGCUUGUUGGUGGGGUGAUGGCCUACCAAGGCGGUGACGGGUAGCCGGCCUGAGAGGGUGGACGGUCACACUGGGACUGAGACACGGCCCAGACUCCUACGGGAGGCAGCAGUGGGGAAUAUUGCACAAUGGGCGCAAGCCUGAUGCAGCGACGCCGCGUGAGGGAUGGAGGCCUUCGGGUUGUAAACCUCUUUCGCCAGUGAAGCAGGCCUGUCCCUUUUGUGGGUGGGUUGACGGUAGCUGGAUAAGAAGCGCCGGCUAACUACGUGCCAGCAGCCGCGGUAAUACGUAGGGCGCGAGCGUUGUCCGGAAUUAUUGGGCGUAAAGAGCUCGUAGGCGGCUGGUCGCGUCUGUCGUGAAAUCCUCUGGCUUAACUGGGGGCUUGCGGUGGGUACGGGCCGGCUUGAGUGCGGUAGGGGAGACUGGAACUCCUGGUGUAGCGGUGGAAUGCGCAGAUAUCAGGAAGAACACCGGUGGCGAAGGCGGGUCUCUGGGCCGUUACUGACGCUGAGGGGCGAAAGCGUGGGGAGCGAACAGGAUUAGAUACCCUGGUAGUCCACGCCGUAAACGUUGGGCACUAGGUGUGGGGGGCCUUUUCCGGGUCUUCCGCGCCGUAGCUAACGCAUUAAGUGCCCCGCCUGGGGAGUACGG
Molecule: ribosomal RNA, 660 nt
Filed under: uncultured Actinomycetes bacterium
Lineage: Bacteria; Bacillati; Actinomycetota; Actinomycetes
Description: bacterial SSU rRNA
Rfam family: Bacterial small subunit ribosomal RNA
Source: RNAcentral